CCUUUUAUGAAUGGGGGCUGGAGGGGAGCGCGGAUGCGGCUCCCGGGGUUUUUUUUUUUUUCCCUUUUUUUUUUUUGAAUGAAGGGCAGCGGCAGCUGCGCAUGCACCGCGCCCCCCGCCCGGGGCUGGAGGCACUCAUCCGCUUCCAGCCGUUCUGCUCGCGGGAAGAUAAAUGGAGGGGAGGAAUCCUGGGCAUGGCUGCACGGGAGCGGGCUCGCAGCGCGCUGGGUGAUGCACAACAGCUUCUCCAGGCACGUUUCUCCCCCUCCCUCCACGUCUCCUCUGACAGACGUCCCCAGCAGUGAUUUCAGACAAACACCCUAAAGUGGCUACACCAGUGUUCCUCCUGCAGGGCAGUCAGAAGAGACACCCACAAAUGUACCCAGGACCAUCAUUUUAUCCCUGUUUGGGAAUUUCCAUUACUGCUGGGGAAAGGGACUUCUCCUCCUGAGUGAAGAUUCUGGGACGUGACUUGAAGCAAGGCAAGAGAAGCAAAACCUUUGUGUGAACAUCACAGAACAGAAGAAAAAAGUGAUGUACAAAGCAAGAGAAAGAAAUCAGGCUGGUUUCAAACCCUUUGUAGUGCUGGGCUGAGGGGAGACUGCUUCUUCAUCCCACUGCUUUUCCAGACUGCACACUGUGUGUUCCUGCAGGAAUUCUCCUGCCCAGAUUUUUGUCACCUUGUGCAGAUUCUGCUGAGACUCUGGCAGCAGCAGGAUAUUGAAGGAUUUGAGCUGAGGUGUUUGAGCAGUCACAGCCCCCUGCUCUGACCCCUCAUUUCCAGCGCAGACACGGCUCCCUCAGCCCCACAUUUCCUCCAGGUCUGUACAGAGAUUUCCUUCCAUGAAGAAAUGGGAUGAAAGCAGGAAGAGGAGACUUUUUGUAGAGAUGAGCAUGAGCUUCAUCCUGGAGAAUCUGCAGAGUCCAGAAAAGCAGUUUGGAAAACAGCCGGUGUCUGAUUGGAACCCACAGGAGGCGGGAAGGGAGCCCAGAUGCUGUGCCAAAACCUGAAGGCAUCACCAGACCAAUCAAAGAAGGAUGCUGUGGAGGUUGGAGGCUGGGAAGUGAGAAAUGCUGUCACAGAAGUGCCCUCACAGAUGUGACAUCAGGAGGUGCCACAGGUGGGGCCAGAGUCCCACAGAUAUUCCAGGUACAGUCAUGUUUUCAGCCUAGAAACUACAUUUAAAAUCUCCCACAGAUUCAUUCUGUCUUUCACACACAGAGUUCUGUAGUGCUUGGAGAGCAGUGGAUUUAUGAACAGAAAAAGACAAGGCACAGAAUAAAUCUAAAUGCAGGAAGUUGCUUUAAAUGUCAUGUAUUCCCACAGCUAUAUUAUGGAAAAUAUUUUAUAGUCACUGUUUAUAUGUGUUUAUAGAUUGUAAAAAUGUCUCUCUAGGACUGAGUUGUGCUACUGGGAUGGAGCCAGUACCACACUGUGUGGGUUUGCUGUGGUGCUUGGAGUGCCCUGGGAGAGACUGAGGGUGGCAGCUCUGCAGCACACACACUCACACACAUGUACACACACAGACAAUCUCUAAACACUUGGCUCUAAACUCCUUAGUAUUUAAAAAGCUCUGCAAGAGCAGCUGCAAAAAGAGGAAAUUACUCCUGGAAAUGGAUCCCAGAUGCCUGCAGAGAAUAAAAACCUCUGGAAGCUGGAUUGCUAAGGAUGGAUCCCUGGAGAUGAAGAGUGUGGCUGUUGGUGAGAGCACCCCCAGCCUCUGCACCAGCUCUGCUUUAUGCACAGGCUCCAGGCUCUCAGACCCCCCCUUUGACAGAGACUGGGAUUUUGGGAAGUGCUUUCUGGAGUGACAGCCCCCAGCCCCACCAAUUGCCAUGAGACUGGAGAUGCAGCCUCAGAAGCUCUGUGGCUCCUGGUGGUUUCCAGAGCAGGUGAUGCCAAAUACAGACUCAAAAUCUUUCACCAUUAUCAAGUGAAAUUAUUUCGUAGAGUGCCUGGUCCCUACAUUCAUUUUUCUCUCAAGACACCAUAGUGCAGCAGCUCAGCUUCCUUGCCAGCUGCCAGCCUUUCCCUGAAGGAAAGCCCCCAAUCACCCAGGGUGGCACAGGGGGCUCUGCUCCUCCACUGAGCUUUAAUCCACUUCAUCAUUGGGUCAUUUCCUAGAACCAAAGCCUUUCUUGAACCUUUAUCUGCGGGUAAAAGGCACCCAGAAGUCUCCUGGGUUGAUGAUGGGUGGCAUUGAGAAGCAAACACCCCAGAUCCAAGGGCUCUGAGCAGGAUCUCAGCAAACUCUGCAGGCAGGAGUGAGGAGCAGCCUGGAUUCUACCCCAGCCACCUCAAGGGCUGAGGGCAUCUCCAGACAGCCUGACCAGAGCAGCUCAACUGCAAACAGCUUCUUCAUCAUCACUGAUUUCCUCUAAGGUUAUUUUUGCUAUUUUUAGGAAGACUCCAGUGCUUGCCAGCUGCCCUGAGUGCCCCAGCAAAGCUCAUGAACACUUUUCCACUCCCCUUGUCUCCCUGUGUUAAAUACCAUUGCUGUUCUCAGACUUUAUGGCCAUGGAGUUGUUCCUCUACAAACACCACCACUCAUGGCCCUAGCAUUAUACUUCUGGCAGGAACAUGUUAGGUUUUUACGGGAAUUAAAAAGCUCGAGUGAGAGAGAGAGCCUGAACCAAAGACAACAUAAAGGGCCUUAUUUCUUUGGGUAGGAGCCCAACAAUGCUAUUAAACAGCUCAAAGCAGAACAGAAAGCUGUUCAAAUAUGCAAGGCUGAGAGACACCACACUGCAGUGGUUUCUGGGUGCUCCAUGGAGAAAGGAAAAUAUCCCAAGAGGAGAUGGCUGUGAGGGGCAUGGCUGCUGCUGAGCUCUGACCCCCUGCUCACACCAGGACUGCAUCUGGAGCACCUGUGGUUGUGGCUCCUCUCUCCUCCAGCUCUGUGCACAGAGAAAUCCCCACGAGGAGGAUCCCUGGGAGCAGCAGCCAGGAUAACCCUGCUCCAGGAUAACUCCAGGACAGCCCCAGGACAGCCCCAGCUCCAUCUGCAGCAUGGGCAGCUGAGGGCACCCAGCACUUCCUCCUGGAUGCAGGUGUCAGCACCCCAAAGGACCAGAAAUAACUUCUGAAGGUAAAAAAAGCCUUAAGAAGUGAGUUAAACCCAAAUGUUCCUUCAUCCAGGUCAUGCUGAGCCGUGGUGGCUGCGCUGUGCUGCUCCCUGCAGCUCUGAGGGAGAGGAGCCCAGGGCAGGGCUGCAAUAGCUGUGAAAUUCUGAGAAGUUUGGGGUCGGUUCCAAACUUUAUCACUGGCCAAACCAGUGGCUUUGAUGUGAAAUCCCAAACUCUGCGAGCAUCUGACUGUGAGCAUGGAGGGCUGGUUGUGCUGCCAAUGUCAGGCUGUGAGCUCUGAAAUAGCAGCGCACACUGGGAGCCAUGGAAGGAACCUCUGCUCUCUGCCCCAGAGCUGUGCAAACUUCACCCCACAGCACUCGUUUGCAUGACAGAGGUGGUGCUGAUGGAAAUGAGGGGGGUUCCUAAUGGUCCAAAAGUUUUUUGCAUGUCAGAAUUGCCAGGAAUUUUUGCGGAUUUUUUUUUAAUGGCUCCUGUGGCACCGAUUUAGUGGCCAGCAAAGACUCAACCCAGAGGUAGCCAGCUGAGGUGAGCCUUCUUGCCUUGGGUGUGAAAUACCUGGCUACUACACGGAGGAAGGCAGAAGUAUCUCACCUACUGGGUUAAAACCAGACUGGAUUGAUUCAAAUGCAUCAACAUUUUCCUUGGCUUUGGACACAAUCUUUUAUGUAGGGUUGGAAACAAAUGCUCUGCAUGGCCUCUGAUGGAAAUGGUGAUGAAAAGUGCAGCUAAUCACAAUUGUCAUUUAGAUGAUCAGCUAGAGAUCACCCAGAGAGCUCCAGAGAGAUGAGAAGCUGCUAAACCCAGUAGUGUCCUGAGGCUUUGUCCAGCUCUGGGUAAUGAGAUCAGUGUCUCGUGAACCUGGCUCUGGGGAGUUCAGUGGAAACACUCCAGUUGCUUUCACUUUGGAAAGUGUUAUUUUCUCCAUUAAAGCAGAAAUGCAGUGUGUUCCAGGACGUGUGACUCAGCUGGGAUCAGACAGCAUCACCUCCUGAUGGGCUCCCUGCCCAUUCCCACUGUGACUGCAGCCCCCUGAGCAGCUCACACACUCCAUGUGGAAUGGAAAGCAUUUAGAACAGGUGGAAUAUUUUUAGGGAAUUCAGGCUCUGAAUUGCCUUUGCCAGGGGUUCCUGUGGGUUUUGGGGCAGUCUGAGAUCUACCUGGGCAUGUGGAGCAAACACCUCUCAGACAAACAGGAAUUUUACUCAUACCAAGUUGUAGAGAACCAUUUCAUGGGAUGGAUUUCCUCAUCCAGGGGAGGAUUAGACACAGGCAGAGGUUUCCUCAUGCUGCAGGAGCAGCUUGGUGGGUCUGGGGUUAUCAGCGUGGGCAGCCUGCAGGGGCUGCCUCCCCUCCCGAGGCUGGCAGUGCAAGGCAGAGCUCGAAUUCCUUGGCCUGUACAUCCUCUUAGAGGGAUUUAAUAAAUGAUUAGGCAAAGCAUAUGAUAAAUAUGUAAUAGAUCACUCUGUGACUAUCAGUGGAAUGCACUGGCUCGUUUCUAGGCUUGUUUAUGGCCAGGUGAUUUUAUCUCUAGUGAUGUGAUUAACUGCUUAAUGAAGUAUUUAUCAGCCAGGUUUUACCCUUUGCAAGUGGAAUAUGUUGUGUGAAGUGCAACCAAAAGCAUAAAAAUCCAUUUAACUAAUUCCUGCUGUCAUCAUCUGCUGCUCUCCACCAGAAAGCAGCCAUCCCACCCAGUCUCACUGGAUUUGUGGCAGGAAGAACAGAGGGGCUGUAAAGCUGAAACUUCAGCAGUUUCCUGAGAGGUGUCACUAAUGACCAACACAGCAGCAUCAGAGAGGGACAGGGUUAUCCCAGCCCUGUGCCCUCAGGGAUGCCCAAGGGGAGCCCCAUCCCUGCCCCAAGCCAGGUGUGGCUUUUCCAGAGCUCUGAGCCCGGGACAGCCAGGGCAGCCUCCCACCAGGCUGUGCUGUCCGUGGGGAGGCAGGAAAACCAAGGCAUCCUCCCCUUUCUAAUUACCUCCCCUUUCUAAUUACCUCCCACCCACGGCCCUUGGCCAUCCGGUGAUUAACUUAAUUGCAGCUCCAGCCCCAGGAGCAAAUGCAGCCCCAGAGCAGGAGCUGUGCCAGGAGGGCCUUGUCCCUGUGUCCUGUCUGGGCUCAGAGCAAGAGCAGGGACACGAGCAGGAGCAGCCCUGGCUGCACACACAGACCCAUGGAUCCCACUGGACCUGUCCUGGAUUGGAGCCCUCCCUCCCGGAGCCAGCCAGGUGUGUGGAUGGAAGAACACCUGGACCUGGGUGUGUGGGACCUUCUACAUGGGGAGAACAGCUGGACCUGGGUGUGUGGGACCUGCUGGGUGGAAGAACACCUGGACAGGGAAUCACCAAAGCCCAGUCCCUACAGCUGAGGAUGGGCUGGAGGAUGUGCUCACCCAGGGGACACCUCUGGCAAUGCAAGCACCUCGGGCUUCCCCUUCCCUCCAGGAUGCAGCAGGUCCUGUCUGCCCUUCCCAGGUGCCCCUUCCCUCUCCCAGCCUUGUGCCAAGGCCAGUGCCAAGCCUGGUCCCUGCUCCUGUGCUCUGCUCCCUCCCAGCACGUGGGGCUGGCUGGAGCAGCCACUGACAGGUGCCACGAGUGACACCAGUUCUCAUCCCUGUCACCCGAGGAGGAGGAGGGUGGCUCUGUGCUGCUGAGGACUCAGGGAUGAUGCACCAGGCACAGGACCCUUAUUUGGGGUUUGCCACCUCAGUAUGGGCAGGCCUGUGGGCACCUCUCCUGCCUGGACCUGCCUGUGCCUGGCUUCCCAGUGACCUCUCCGCUGUCCCCGUGCAGUGACACUGACACUGCAGUGACCUCUCCCCUGUCCCUGUGCCGUGACACUGCACUGACCUCUCCCCUGUCCCCGUGCAGUGACACUGCACUGACCUCUCCGCUGUCCCCAUGCAGUGACACUGCAGUGACCUCUCCCCUGUCCCCGUGCAGUGACCUCUCCCCUGUCCCCGUGCAGUGACACUGCAGUGACCUCUCCGCUGUCCCUGUGCAGUGACACUGCAGUGACCUCUCCCCUGUCCCUGUGCAGUGACACUGCAGUGACCUCUCCGUUGUCCCCGUGCAGUGACACUGCAGUGACCUCUCCGCUGUCCCCGUGCCACCCCUGCUGUCCAUGCAGGACACGGGCACAGUGCCAGGCUGCAGAGCCCACUGUGGCUGUCUGGGCUGAAGCUGCAGGUGUGGCUGCCCCGCACGCCCACGGACAGACAGACAGACAGACGGACCAUGCCAAAUGACAAACUGCAGCCCAGGAGUUCCCUCUGUGCUGUGAAUCCCAGCAGUGGCCUGGCUCUCCUGCUGCACCGUGUCCCCUGUGAGCCCUGCAGUGCCACCCCUCUGCUGAGCACCAUUCAGGGAGGCAGAGGAUGCUGGAAUCGAGGGUUUCAUCCCCAGGCCAAGUGAAAGCCCACAUCCAUCCUGGUGGUUAACCAUCUGCAGACACAGC
This is a long non-coding RNA of Zonotrichia albicollis (white-throated sparrow), 6542 nucleotides long. RefSeq lists it as uncharacterized. NCBI's taxonomy places the organism in Eukaryota, Metazoa, Chordata, Aves, Passeriformes, Passerellidae. The record is from RefSeq and is a predicted model, not a curated record.